RNAcentral lists this transfer RNA (74 nucleotides) under Amycolatopsis vancoresmycina DSM 44592. Its description in RNAcentral is "tRNA-OTHER". It matches the Rfam family "tRNA". From Rfam's summary of the family: Transfer RNA (tRNA) molecules are approximately 80 nucleotides in length. The record is from RNAcentral. Lineage: Bacteria; Bacillati; Actinomycetota; Actinomycetes; Pseudonocardiales; Pseudonocardiaceae.
GACCCGUGUCAUGACGGUCAUGAGGCGGCCUGCAAAGCCGCCGGUACCGGGUUCGACUCCCGGGCGGGUCUCCG